Long non-coding RNA from Oncorhynchus keta (chum salmon), 590 nucleotides. RefSeq lists it as uncharacterized. NCBI's taxonomy places the organism in Eukaryota, Metazoa, Chordata, Actinopteri, Salmoniformes, Salmonidae. The record is from RefSeq and is a predicted model, not a curated record. The transcript is spliced from 5 exons.
AGAAGGUGCACCCAGCUGAGAUUAGCAUGGAGAGGCCUGCAGAGAGAGGAGCAGAGCAGGCUCACGGUAGAAUGUCACUUAGCUCAGUGGCACGUCGUGUGCAGAGGGUGAUGUAGCCGUGAGGUGUGCGAGCAGAAUCUCAGGGGAGCAAUAGCUGAGCUGCUGCUCUACACAGUAUCUGCACUUGUCCUACCUGUCCAUUAGCUGAUAUGAUGUUGCCGGGGAGAACAGCCAGGGACCCUAGGAAGCUGACCAGGUAGAUAAGCACGUCGUUCUCCUCGUCGAUGUCCAGGUGACAGCCCCUCUUGUUGUGGAGGAACGUGGUGUUCUCCAGCUUACAGUCUAUGAACUUCUCCUCGUACAGGGAGAAGUUGAAGUGGAAGCGUUCAACUCUCUCUCUAUGGAACACCUUGACUUUGGACUCAUACUCCUCUUGCUGCAGACGGGGGUCUUUCUUACCCGAUGCCAGAGAAGAGCCUAAAGAAGAGGAAGAAGCCGUAUCCCUGGGCAAAGGAGGAGAGGAAGGCGAAGACACAGUUGACGGUGAGGGCCCAGAUCAGACACUUCCGGCGGCCCAGUUUGUCUGCCAU